This 589-nucleotide unclassified non-coding RNA is filed under the name Pholiota lubrica. RNAcentral describes it as "sequence contains 18S rRNA gene, ITS1, 5.8S rRNA gene and ITS2". The stretch from base 247 to 400 matches the Rfam family "5.8S ribosomal RNA". Lineage: Eukaryota; Fungi; Basidiomycota; Agaricomycetes; Agaricales; Strophariaceae. The record is from RNAcentral.
ACAUUAUUGAAUAAACCUGGCGUGAUUGUUGCUGGUCCUCUCGGGGGCAUGUGCACAUCCGUCAUCUUUAUCUUUCCACCUGUGCACAUUUUGUAGAUCUGAAAUUUUUUUUCGAGGCAACUCGUUUAUGAGGGACUGCUGUGCAUCACUGCCGGCUUCCCUUGGAUUUUCAGGUCUAUGUUUUCACAUACACCAUAAGAAUGUAAUAGAAUGUUAUAUUGGGCCUUGUGCCUAUAAACUAUAUACAACUUUCAGCAACGGAUCUCUUGGCUCUCGCAUCGAUGAAGAACGCAGCGAAAUGCGAUAAGUAAUGUGAAUUGCAGAAUUCAGUGAAUCAUCGAAUCUUUGAACGCACCUUGCGCUCCUUGGUAUUCCGAGGAGCAUGCCUGUUUGAGUGUCAUUAAAUUCUCAACCUUAUUAGCUUUUGUUGAUAAUGGCUUGGAUGUGGGGGUUACUUUGCUGGUUUCUUUAAUGAGAUCAGCUCCCCUUAAAUGUAUUAGCUGGUUGCCUUGUGCAGACUUGUCUAUUGGUGUGAUAAUUAUCUACGCCGUGGACUUCUGCCAGAAUUAGCACCGCUUCUAACUGUCUG